CGUUCCCGGGCCUUGUACACACCGCCCGUCACACCACGAAAGUUGGCAACACCCGAAGCCAGUGGCCCAACCCUUUUGGGAGGGAGCUGUCGAAGGUGGGGUUAGCGAUUGGGUG
This 115-nucleotide ribosomal RNA is filed under the name uncultured bacterium. RNAcentral's name for it is "partial 16S ribosomal RNA". It matches the Rfam family "Bacterial small subunit ribosomal RNA", at positions 1369 to 1482 of the family's 1533-position model. The record is from RNAcentral.